This 247-nucleotide ribosomal RNA is filed under the name uncultured bacterium. Its description in RNAcentral is "partial 16S ribosomal RNA". It matches the Rfam family "Bacterial small subunit ribosomal RNA", at positions 524 to 766 of the family's 1533-position model. The record is from RNAcentral.
GACGAAGGGGGCUAGCGUUGGUUCGGAAUUACUGGCGUAAAGCGCGUGUAGGCGGUUGUCCAAGUUGGAUGUGAAAGCCUUGAGCUUAACUCAAGAAAUGCAUUCAGGACUGGAUGACUAGAGGACCGGAGAGGAUAGUGGAAUUCCCAAGUGUAGUGGUGAAAUGCGUAGGAGAUCGGGAAGAACACCAGUGGCGAAGGCGGCCGGCUGGGGGGCGCCCUGACGGCUGAGGCGCGAGAGCGUGGGG